Molecule: long non-coding RNA, 4457 nt
Organism: Oncorhynchus tshawytscha (Chinook salmon)
Lineage: Eukaryota; Metazoa; Chordata; Actinopteri; Salmoniformes; Salmonidae
Source: Ensembl
AAGUGCUUGAGAUGAGUCCUUAUUCCACUUCACCUGUUGUCUCGAUCAAGCUGUAUGUCUCCAUCCCAAAUGAAUUAGAAAUGUAGACACUAUCUAAUUAAAUCAUUUAACUAUCACUUUAGCUGCAGUAAGCAAACUCUGGGCUGGGCAGACAUCUUUGAGUCUCUUUGUGACUUGGCUUAGUUUGCCCAAGAACCUAGGGCCAGUCAUUCUGUCAGUUUGGGCUGUUUCAGGAUGCGAUGUGGACAAUGACAGUCUGUACUAAGAGCAUCAUGCAAAUCGCUGUGUUUGGUAGUAAAGCUCAAAUCAUUGGCUUUGGCUGACACUUCAUCCUGGAAAAUAUCACCACCACCACAAGUCGGGUCAGCCAGCUCCAACCAAUCAAGGGCUGAGCUGGGCUGACCUGGGCAUGGCUGGGCAUGCCUCAGCUGGGCUGGGCAUGGCUGAGCAUGGCUGGGUUGGGCAUGGCUGAGCCCAACCUGAACAGGUAUGGUAGCCUAGCGGUUAAGAGUGUUGGGCAAGGAGCCGAGAGGUCGCUGGUUCUUGUCCCCGAGCCGACUAGGUGACCAAUCUGUCUGUGCCCUUGAACGAGGCUCUUAACCCUAAUUGCUCCUGUAAGUCACUCUGGAUAAGAGCUAAAUGACUAAAAUGGAAGUCAGGUCACUUUUCCAACAGAAGCUGUCACCCUAUUCACGCCGUCACAGCCACGGCGUUAACAACAGUAGAACUACCCAUCAGAUGCUAAUCGCCCUGUUGUGUUUGUGUUGAUUUUAUUCCUCCCUGGCUGGUGGGGUCGCAGGCUGUUUAGCUCUGGGAAAGCUACAUGUCAUUAGCUCAGCUAACCCUGCCGCCACCUCUCCUAUUGCACUGAGCUGGGAAUGGCUGCUGUGUAAGUAGCUGGCUGUGACUGUCUAGGUGCUUUUCUGAAGUCUGGCAAAUAAAGGCACCAGGGUUUUCCCUUUGUAGUGUGUGUGCAAAUACAACCUGCACUGCAACCCACAGUAUUGACUCCGUUUAUAUGAUUGUACUACAGUCACUUAGUAAACAGUAAACGUGUGUUGCAUUACAUAUUUCAGACAGUGGUUGUGUUUCUUUCUUUGAUUUAAGUGCCUUGUUCGAUGGUACAUCGGCAGAUUUUUCACCUAGUCAGCUCUGGGAUUCGAAUCAGCCACCGUACGGUUAUUGGCCCAACGGUCUUAACCGCUUAAACACACACACACACACACGCGCACACACACGCACACGCACACGCACACACUGCAUGUCUGUCUGUCUGUCCGGAUGCCUACGUGUCUGUCUGGUUGGUUGGCUGACUGGCUGGCUGGCUUUCCAUGUAUCUAUCGAUGUGUCUUGUUGGACAGAUAGACUGCCUAGAACCAUCUGUCUCUCUAGAACCAUCUGUAUGUCUAGAACAGUGUGACCCUAAUGAUAGCUGGAAGAUGGAGAGGACAGUUCCAAGCCAUAGCCAGACUCCAUACAGGGAGGACAACCUUCCUUUUCUAAGGGGGACGCUAUUAGAUUUGCUCCUGAUGAACUGAGAACAGGUUAGCUGCAUGGACAACAUAUAUCUAUGCUACAGUAGUCCUAUGGGAACUGGUCUUGUGUUUGCGUUGUGUCUGUCUGGGGUGUGUCUGUCUGGUGUGUGUCUGUCUCUAAGAAUGGUUUAGUACACGGUCUGGGAGGAGUUAAUUAUGUUUUCAGUUGGUUUUACAAACUGUUUGACAGAAACACCAGAGGACAACUAGGCAUGCCCAAUUCAUAACAAUACUCACAUUACUCUUUGUGAAAAAACAAGUAUUUUACAGCCAAAAUAGAAUCUAGAAAUUCAAACACAGUAUUAUUUUACAGUUGGUUCUGCAGAAAAAUGUUGGUGCCUUAUGUGAAUCAGGUACCAGACACAGGUAGCUAAGGAGUUGCUGGAUUAGCAAGUUUCAUUACAUUUUUACUACAUGUUCUCUCUGGUUUUAAAGAUGCACUCUCAAAUGUUUUAUAACUUCAGUAGUUUUGAAGGUGGUGCUCACGAGCCAACACGGGUCAUUCCAAUUGUGUACUGCAUCAUCCAAUUGUGUACUACGUCAUCCAAUUGUGUAUUACAUCAUCCAAUGUUGUACUACAUCUUCCAAUUGUGUACUACAUCUUCCAAUUGUGUACUACAUCUUCCAAUUGUGUACUACAUCUUCCAAUUGUGUACUACAUCUUCCAAUUGUGUACUACAUCAUCCAAUUGUGUACUACAUCAUCCAAUUGUGUACUACAUCAUCCAAUUUUGUACUACAUCAUCCAAUUGUGUACUACAUCAUCCAAUUGUGUACUACAUCAUCCAAUUAUGUACUACAUCAUCCAAUUGUGUACUACAUCAUCCAAUUAUGUACUACAUCAUCCAAUUAUGUACUACAUCAUCCAAUUAUGUACUACAUCAUCCAAUUUUGUACUACAUCAUCCAAUUGUGUAUUACAUCAUCCAAUUUUGUACUACAUCAUCCAAUUAUGUACUACAUCAUCCAAUUUUGUACUACAUCAUCCAAUUAUGUACUACAUCAUCCAAUUUUGUGCUACAUCAUCCAUUUUGUGUGAUAUGUUAAGAAUUGUGUGGCGUGUUAUUAACCCAAUUCAUGCAAUAUGUUACACAUUUCUUCUUUAAGUUUGUUAGUUUGACAAGCGCAGCUCAUGAUUAACCUGUCAAUAGUAACGUUGCUCAAUCACCACUGUUCCUGCUUUGGUAUUUGGGUGCUUUGGUACUGCUGUUAUUGUUGUUUUUUCAGCUUCUGGCUAAGGCAAGGUUUUGUACUACCUUCUAAAAGCAUUACCCUUAAACUGUCUUCCAAGUCUGUUCUUAUAGCUGUAGUGGCUUAUACAGUUUGGCAACAUUCACUUGUAUAUCCAUGGUGUAGAACCCAAAGUCAGAGAGUCAUAGGAAAUCUAUUUUUAAUCCAGAGUGUCCACGGGUGUCUUCUUCUUUAAAUGGUAAAGUUCAGAGUUCAAAAGUCAGGAGUUUUUUCUGUCCUCUAUUACCAGAAGUGGUUUUGGUUCAAAGAGUCAUUCCAAAAGCCUGGGAGAAUGAGAAGAACUCGCUUUAUUUAGCCAGGAAGUCACGAUGACACAGAACUCCACCAGAGAUCAGCAUGACGAGCAGUCUUCUCACACUCUGAUAUAUGACUUUGAUUAUUCAAUUUACCAGGCUUACAUUUUCAACAGUAGCAUAAUCAGAUUAGUUCAUUGGAUACGGGUCGUCAGGAUGAAAAUAGCUUUUGCUGGCAAUAUUGAAUUAAACCAUUUUCUGUUCAUAAGUUGAUAGUUUAUGUAUAAAAAAAACAGGACACUAAUCAUAGAUGCUCUGCAAAAAUGUAGUUGUUGUAUCUUAACACACCCAUGUUUCAUCAGGGUUGUGUGUGUGUGUGUGUGUGUGUGUUUUGCGGGGAAGCUCUCUUCGGUAUUAGCAGUGAAGUUAUUUCCAUGUCAUAUCCUUCACUGCCCCUCUUUCCUUAUUAAAUCAUGUGGGAAUAUGUGAAUAUGAUGUGUGUGUGUGUUGAUUGGACAGUAUUCCAGGAACGUGUGUGUGUGUUGAUUGGACAGUAUUCCAGGAACGUGUGUGUGUGUGUUGAUUGGACAGUAUUCCAGGAACGUGUGUGUGUGUGUUGAUUGGACGGUAUUCCAGGAACGUGUGUGUGUGUUGAUUGGACAGUAUUCCAGGAACGUGUGUGUGUGUUGGUUGGACGGUAUUCCAGGAACGUGUGUGUGUGUGUUGGUUGGACGGUAUUCCAGGAACGUGUGUGUGUGUUGAUUGGAAGGUAUUCCAGGAACGUGUGUGUGUGUUGAUUGGACAGUAUUCCAGGAAUGUGUGUGUGUGUGUUGAUUGGACAGUAUUCCAGGAACGUGUGUGUGUUGAUUGGACGGUAUUCCAGGAACGUGUGUGUGUGUUGAUUGGACGGUAUUCCAGGAACGUGUGUGUGUGUGUUGAUUGGACAGUAUUCCAGGAACGUAUGUGUGUGUUCAUGGGCAUAGUAAGAGAGCUAGUUUCCAUGUACAACUCGUAGUAUUGAAGGUGGUAUUCCAGGAACGUGUGUGUGUGUUGGUUGGACAGUAUUCCAGGAACGUGUGUGUGUAAUGAUUGGAUGGUAUUCCAGGAACGUGUGUGUGUGUGUUCAUGGGCAUAGUGAGAGAGCUAGUUUCCAUGUACAACUCGUAGUAUCAGCACACACACACACAUCAUAUAUGCCACUCACUUAACCUGAAACUACUGUAUGUGCGUGUGUGGAAAAAGCGAGGGUAAUUGCCAGACUAACCCUGCUGAUGGGGCCUCUCUUGGGGGGGCUAACAACCCAGAUUCUAUGUCAACGUGUGUGUGUUUGUGUGUGUCGCACGUGUCCUGCAGCUAGAUUUUAUUUUUACAAUGGCUGUGGCUUUAACCCUAACCCAAUGGCUGUGGCUUUAACCCUAACCCAAUGGCUGUGGCUUUAAC